AAUACAUGCAAGUCGAGCCGAACAGGACGAGGGAGCUUGCUCCUCUGACGUUAGCGGCGGACGGGUGAGUAACACGUGGAUAACCUACCUAUAAGACUGGGAUAACUUCGGGAAACCGGAGCUAAUACCGGAUAAUAUAUUGAACCGCAUGGUUCAAUAGUGAAAGACGGUUUUGCUGUCACUUAUAGAUGGAUCCGCGCCGCAUUAGCUAGUUGGUAAGGUAACGGCUUACCAAGGCAACGAUGCGUAGCCGACCUGAGAGGGUGAUCGGCCACACUGGAACUGAGACACGGUCCAGACUCCUACGGGAGGCAGCAGUAGGGAAUCUUCCGCAAUGGGCGAAAGCCUGACGGAGCAACGCCGCGUGAGUGAUGAAGGUCUUCGGAUCGUAAAACUCUGUUAUUAGGGAA
RNAcentral lists this ribosomal RNA (410 nucleotides) under uncultured Staphylococcus sp. Its description in RNAcentral is "bacterial SSU rRNA". It matches the Rfam family "Bacterial small subunit ribosomal RNA", at positions 50 to 446 of the family's 1533-position model. The record is from RNAcentral. Lineage: Bacteria; Bacillati; Bacillota; Bacilli; Caryophanales; Staphylococcaceae.